UGAAUCCUCCCCUUUUUUGGGAUUGGGGGGGGGCCUGACCCCGUUUUUGGGGGGUUUUGACCCCGUUUUUGGGGGGUUUCAGGCGCUGCUGCUGCAGGCCCACCAGCUGGAGCUGAGGAAGAGGAGGGAGGAGGAGAAGGUGGAGAAGAGGCUGAAGGUGCCCCCCGGGACCGAGCGCCCCUCGGCGGAGACGCUGCUGCGGGAGCAGAGCGAGGGGCUGCUGGAGGAGGAGGAGGAGGAGGAGGAGGAAGAGCCGGAAUCGCAGGAAAACGCCCCAAAAUGGGGGCCCCCCCCGGAGAGAAAAA
Calidris pugnax (ruff) is the source of this 305-nucleotide long non-coding RNA. RefSeq lists it as uncharacterized. The transcript has 2 exons. The record is from RefSeq and is a predicted model, not a curated record. NCBI's taxonomy places the organism in Eukaryota, Metazoa, Chordata, Aves, Charadriiformes, Scolopacidae.